GGGGCAUUAGCUCAGCUGGGAGAGCGCUUGCAUGGCAUGCAAGAGGUCAGCGGUUCGAGCCCGCUAUGCUCCA
Pontibacillus litoralis JSM 072002 is the source of this 73-nucleotide transfer RNA. It matches the Rfam family "tRNA". Rfam says of the family: Transfer RNA (tRNA) molecules are approximately 80 nucleotides in length. Their secondary structure includes four short double-helical elements and three loops (D, anti-codon, and T loops). The record is from Rfam. NCBI's taxonomy places the organism in Bacteria, Bacillati, Bacillota, Bacilli, Caryophanales, Bacillaceae.